This 374-nucleotide ribosomal RNA is filed under the name uncultured organism. RNAcentral's name for it is "partial 16S ribosomal RNA". It matches the Rfam family "Bacterial small subunit ribosomal RNA", at positions 527 to 896 of the family's 1533-position model. The record is from RNAcentral.
GUAGGUGGCAAGCGUUGUCCGGAAUUAUUGGGCGUAAAGCGCGCGCAGGCGGUCCUUUAAGGUCUGAUGUGAAAGCCCACGGGCUCAACCGUGGAGGGUCAUUGGAAACUGAGGGACUUGAGUACAGAAGAGGAAAGCGGAAUUCCACGUGUAGCGGUGAAAUGCGUAGAGAUGUGGAGGAACACCAGUGGCGAAGGCGGCUUUCUGGUCUGUAACUGACGCUGAGGCGCGAAAGCGUGGGGAGCAAACAGGAUUAGAUACCCUGGUAGUCCACGCCGUAAACGAUGAGUGCUAAGUGUUAGGGGGUUUCCGCCCCUUAGUGCUGCAGCUAACGCAUUAAGCACUCCGCCUGGGGAGUACGACCGCAAAGGUUG